Molecule: ribosomal RNA, 253 nt
Filed under: uncultured bacterium
Lineage: Bacteria
Description: partial 16S ribosomal RNA
Rfam family: Bacterial small subunit ribosomal RNA
Source: RNAcentral
UCCGUAGGGUGCAAGCGUUACUCGGCAUUACUGGGCGUAAAGCGUGCGCAGGCGGUUCGCUAAGACAGAUGUGAAAUCCCCGGGCUUAACCUGGGAACUGCAUUUGUGACUGGCGGGCUAGAGUAUGGCAGAGGGGGGUAGAAUUCCACGUGUAGCAGUGAAAUGCGUAGAGAUGUGGAGGAAUACCGAUGGCGAAGGCAGCCCCCUGGGCCAAUACUGACGCUCAUGCACGAAAGCGUGGGGAGCAAACAGG